RNAcentral lists this ribosomal RNA (736 nucleotides) under uncultured organism. RNAcentral describes it as "bacterial SSU rRNA". It matches the Rfam family "Bacterial small subunit ribosomal RNA", at positions 687 to 1425 of the family's 1533-position model. The record is from RNAcentral.
UGCGUAGAUAUCAGGAAGUACACCGACGGCGAAGGCAGCUUUCUGGCUGGCAACUGACCCUGAUGAACGAUAGCUAGGGUAGCGAACAGGAUUAGAUACCCUGGUAGUCCUAGCUGUAAACGUUGUGCACUGGAUGUGGACGGAUUUGGUCCCGUCUGUGUCUGAGCGAAGGCGUUAAGUGCACCGCCUGGGGACUACGGCCGCAAGGCUAAAACUCAAAGGAAUUGACGGGGGCCCGCACAAGCGGUGGAGCAUGUGGCUCAAUUCGAGGCAACGCGAAGAACCUUACCUGGGUUUGACGUAUACCUGACCGCCGGUGAGAGCCGGUUUCUCUUUGAGCAGGUAUACAGGUGCUGCAUGGCUGUCGACAGCUCGUGCUGUGAAGUGUUCGGUUAAGUCCGGCAACGAGCGCAACCCACGCUGUUAGUUACCAUCAGGUAAUGCUGGGGACUCUAACAGGACUGCCCGUGCUAAGCGGGAGGAAGGCGUGGACGACGUCAAGUCCGCAUGGCCCUUACGCCCAGGGCUGCACACGUGCUACAAUGGCCGGUACAGAGGGUCGCCACUCUGCGAAGAGGAGCUAAUCCCGAAAACCGGCCUCAGUUCGGAUUGGAGUCUGCAACCCGACUCCAUGAAGUAGGAAUCGCUAGUAAAGGCGUAUCAGCAACGGCGCCUUGAUCUGUUCCCGGGCAUUUACACACCGCCCGUCACAUCAUGGAAGCCGGCUGCACCCGAA